This 240-nucleotide unclassified non-coding RNA is filed under the name soil metagenome. Its description in RNAcentral is "partial contains 5.8S ribosomal RNA, internal transcribed spacer 2, and large subunit ribosomal RNA". The record is from RNAcentral.
AACGCACGAGACCUGCGGACCUGCGGAAGGAUCAUUAAUGAGAAGCUGCCCCUCGUGGGUAGACCUCCCACCCUCUGUGAACUUACUUUUGUUGCUUUGGCAGGCCCGUCCUCUGGACCGCCGGCUUCGGCUGGCCCGUGCCUGCCAGAGGAUUCCAAACCCUGUCUGUCAGUGUUGUCUGAGUCUAUAUGAAAUCGUUAAAACUUUUAACAACGGAUCUCUAGAUCGGAAGAGCACACG